Molecule: transfer RNA, 68 nt
Filed under: Entemnotrochus rumphii
Lineage: Eukaryota; Metazoa; Mollusca; Gastropoda; Pleurotomariida; Pleurotomariidae
Description: tRNA-Leu
Rfam family: tRNA
About the family: Transfer RNA (tRNA) molecules are approximately 80 nucleotides in length. Their secondary structure includes four short double-helical elements and three loops (D, anti-codon, and T loops).
Source: RNAcentral
AGUGAGGUGGCAGAAUAAUGCAUUAGGUUUAAGCUCUAAAGAUAAAGAUGAAACUUCUUUUCUCAGUA